Molecule: ribosomal RNA, 250 nt
Filed under: uncultured prokaryote
Description: partial 16S ribosomal RNA
Rfam family: Bacterial small subunit ribosomal RNA
Source: RNAcentral
UACGUAGGGAGCGAGCGUUGUCCGGAUUUACUGGGUGUAAAGGGUGCGUAGGCGGCUAAACAAGUCAGACGUGAAAGGCAUGUGCUUAACACAUGGAAUGCGUUUGAAACUGUAUAGCUUGAGUGGAGUAGAGGUAAGUGGAAUUCCCGGUGUAGCGGUGAAAUGCGUAGAGAUCGGGAGGAACACCAGUGGCGAAGGCGACUUACUGGGCUUCAACUGACGCUGAGGCACGAAAGCGUGGGGAGCGAAC